RNAcentral lists this ribosomal RNA (484 nucleotides) under uncultured bacterium. RNAcentral's name for it is "partial 16S ribosomal RNA". It matches the Rfam family "Bacterial small subunit ribosomal RNA", at positions 30 to 507 of the family's 1533-position model. The record is from RNAcentral.
AUUGAACGCUGGCGGCAGGCCUAACACAUGCAAGUCGAGCGGAGGAAGGGAGCUUGCUCCUGGAUUCAGCGGCGGACGGGUGAGUAAUGCCUAGGAAUCUGCCUGGUAGUGGGGGAUAACGUCCGGAAACGGGCGCUAAUAUCGCAUACGUCCUGAGGGAGAAAGUGGGGGAUCUUCGGACCUCACGCUAUCAGAUGAGCCUAGGUCGGAUUAGCUAGUUGGUGGGGUAAAGGCCUACCAAGGCGACGAUCCGUAACUGGUCUGAGAGGAUGAUCAGUCACACUGGAACGGAGACACGGUCCAGACUCCUACGGGAGGCAGCAGUGGGGAAUAUUGGACAAUGGGCGAAAGCCUGCUCCAGCCAUGCCGCGUGUGUGAAGAAGGUCUUCGGAUUGUAAAGCACUUUAAGUUGGGAGGAAGGGCAGUAAGUUAAUACCUUGCUGUUUUGACGUUACCAACAGAAUAAGCACCGGCUAACUUCGUG